Molecule: ribosomal RNA, 252 nt
Filed under: uncultured bacterium
Lineage: Bacteria
Description: partial 16S ribosomal RNA
Rfam family: Bacterial small subunit ribosomal RNA
Source: RNAcentral
UACGUAGGCAGCGAGCGUUGUUCGGAGUUACUGGCGUAAAGCGUGCGUAGGCGGUUUUGUAAGUUUGGUGUGAAAUCUCCCGGCUCAACUGGGAGGGUGCGCCGAAAACUGCAAGGCUGGAGUAUGGGAGAGGUAGGCGGAAUUCCUGGUGUAGCGGUGAAAUGCGUAGAUAUCGUGAGGAACACCAGAGGCGAAGGCGGUUACCUGGACAGUUACUGACGCUCAGGCACGAAAGCAUGGGGAGCAAAAGGG